GCACUUCCAGCUGAUUGUGAGGAAACUUGCUUCGGUUGACAAUGUUUGGCUAUUGUUAACACAUUGUACAUUACUGUUGUUUACAUAUUGUGCAAUGUGUCAGGAGAUUGAAAAUACAAACCGGAAAUAUAAGCCAACAGAGCCAUACACAGACUGGCACCCCAAAAAAGUCUGGUUAAUAAUACUUUCCUGUGGACAUUUUAUCUUCACUACCUACCGUCAAAAGUACCAACAGCAUGGACAACCAGCAAAAGAGGAAAGCCAAUAGCCACACUCUUGAUCCAUCACUGUCCAACAGCAGCCUCAAGAGAGAUGCCUAAACAGAUGUUCACACAGACCUUUAGAAACUCUGUUUUGGACUUGGAUCUGGUUUCUGACCCCUGCCUGGCCUGCCCUCGAGACUGCCUAUCGUCUGGUACUGUUUGGACUCUGACCUGGUUUAUGAACUCUCGCCUGUCCCCGACCUGCCUUUGCC
Non-coding RNA from Salmo salar (Atlantic salmon), 475 nucleotides. The record is from RefSeq and is a predicted model, not a curated record. Lineage: Eukaryota; Metazoa; Chordata; Actinopteri; Salmoniformes; Salmonidae.